GACGAACGCUGGCGGCGUGCUUAACACAUGCAAGUCGAACGGAAAGGCCCUGCUUUUGUGGGGUGCUCGAGUGGCGAACGGGUGAGUAACACGUGAGUAACCUGCCCUUGACUUUGGGAUAACUUCAGGAAACUGGGGCUAAUACCGGAUAGGAGCUCCUGCUGCAUGGUGGGGGUUGGAAAGUUUCGGCGGUUGGGGAUGGACUCGCGGCUUAUCAGCUUGUUGGUGGGGUAGUGGCUUACCAAGGCUUUGACGGGUAGCCGGCCUGAGAGGGUGACCGGCCACAUUGGGACUGAGAUACGGCCCAGACUCCUACGGGAAGCAGCAGUGGGGAAUAUUGCACAAUGGGCGGAAGCCUGAUGCAGCAACGCCGCGUGCGGGAGGACGGCCUUCGGGUUGUAAACCGCUUUCGCCUGUGACGAAGCGUGAGUGACGGUAAUGGGUAAAGAAGCACCGGCUAACUACGU
This 467-nucleotide ribosomal RNA is filed under the name uncultured bacterium. RNAcentral's name for it is "partial 16S ribosomal RNA". It matches the Rfam family "Bacterial small subunit ribosomal RNA", at positions 28 to 506 of the family's 1533-position model. The record is from RNAcentral.